UGGAGGGGUCUGGGCGGGGCUCAGGUCGGUGCUGGUGUUUAGCGGGGGCCCAACACACCUCGGUCUCCUCACCCACCUAAGCGGGGAGAGUGGCGCACAACGUGGCCUGACUCCAUCCUCUGGUAUCUCGUGCCUCAGUUUCCCAUCUGUAAAUGGAACACACGCGAUUUCAGCCGCCGUUCAACCUUUCUAAAAGCUUUCACAUCCAUUAUCUGACUGGUGUCUCAAACUGCUACUGAGGCUUCAGCUCUGAUCUGGACCAGUGCUCUCCAGGCCUACUGCACAGCUGUCAUACUGAACUUUCCUAUAUCCUACACCUGGUUGGGAUUCCCUGUGCCCUGGACCUUGUGUCUCAAACUUCUAGAUUGUGGAUUUACUCUGUCAUCUCUGUGCAGCACAUCUUUCUGUAGAUUCCUGAGAAAGGUUGCAAAGAAGCAAAUAUAUUUAGUCCUUGUAUGUCUAAA
This is a long non-coding RNA of Homo sapiens (human), 464 nucleotides long. RefSeq lists it as uncharacterized. The transcript is spliced from 2 exons. The record is from RefSeq and is a predicted model, not a curated record. NCBI's taxonomy places the organism in Eukaryota, Metazoa, Chordata, Mammalia, Primates, Hominidae.